GACGAACGCUGGCGGCGUGCUUAACACAUGCAAGUCGAACGGAAAGGCCCUGCUUUUGUGGGGUGCUCGAGUGGCGAACGGGUGAGUAACACGUGAGUAACCUGCCCUUGACUUUGGGAUAACUUCAGGAAACUGGGGCAAUACCGGAUAGGAGCUCCUGCUGCAUGGUGGGGGUUGGAAAGUUUCGGCGGUUGGGGAUGGACUCGCGGCUUAUCAGCUUGUUGGUGGGGUAGUGGCUUACCAAGGCUUUGACGGGUAGCCGGCCUGAGAGGGUGACCGGCCACAUUGGGACUGAGAUACGGCCCAGACUCCUACGGGAGGCAGCAGUGGGGAAUAUUGCACAAUGGGCGGAAGCCUGAUGCAGCAACGCCGCGUGCGGGAUGACGGCCUUCGGGUUGUAAACCGCUUUCGCCUGUGACGAAGCGUGAGUGACGGUAAUGGGUAAAGAAGCACCGGCUAACUACGU
Molecule: ribosomal RNA, 466 nt
Filed under: uncultured bacterium
Lineage: Bacteria
Description: partial 16S ribosomal RNA
Rfam family: Bacterial small subunit ribosomal RNA
Source: RNAcentral